AAUCAACGCUGGCGGCGUGCCUCAGACAUGCAAGUCGAACGCGAAAGUUUCCUUCGGGGAACAAGUAGAGUGGCGCACGGGUGAGUAACACGUAGGUAAUCUACCUUUGGAUGGGGAAUAACAAAUCGGAAACGGUUGCUAAUACCGCAUAAUGCAGCGGCACCUAAUGGUGACAGUUGUUAAAGCGGGGGAUCGAAAGACCUCGCGUCUGAAGAGGAGCCUGCGGCGGAUUAGCUAGUUGGUAAGGUAAUGGCUUACCAAGGCUACGAUCCGUAACCGGCCUGAGAGGGCGGUCGGUCACACUGACACUGACAUACGGGUCAGACUCCUAC
Molecule: ribosomal RNA, 332 nt
Filed under: uncultured bacterium
Lineage: Bacteria
Description: bacterial SSU rRNA
Rfam family: Bacterial small subunit ribosomal RNA
Source: RNAcentral